AGUGGACGCUGGCGGUAGGCCUAACACAUGCAAGUCGAACGGCAGCACAGUAAGAGCUUGCUCUUACGGGUGGCGAGUGGCGGACGGGUGAGGAAUACAUCGGAAUCUACUUUUUCGUGGGGGAUAACGUAGGGAAACUUACGCUAAUACCGCAUACGACCUACGGGUGAAAGCAGGGGAUCUUCGGACCUUGCGCGAUUGAAUGAGCCGAUGUCGGAUUAGCUAGUUGGCGGGGUAAAGGCCCACCAAGGCGACGAUCCGUAGCUGGUCUGAGAGGAUGAUCAGCCACACUGGAACUGAGACACGGUCCAGACUCCUACGGGAGGCAGCAGUGGGGAAUAUUGGACAAUGGGCGCAAGCCUGAUCCAGCCAUACCGCGUGGGUGAAGAAGGCCUUCGGGUUGUAAAGCCCUUUUGUUGGGAAAGAAAAGCAGCAGGUUAAUACCCCGCUGUUCUGACGGUACCCAAAGAAUAAACACCGGCGAACUUCGU
This 491-nucleotide ribosomal RNA is filed under the name uncultured bacterium. RNAcentral's name for it is "partial 16S ribosomal RNA". It matches the Rfam family "Bacterial small subunit ribosomal RNA", at positions 29 to 506 of the family's 1533-position model. The record is from RNAcentral.